GAACAGCAUUCAUUUUGUUCAAUAUUCCAUGAAGACUAUCAGAUACACCAUCUUUUCUUCUGAGUAAUAGCAGGCACUCUCGGGCUGUCAGAUGAUAUGCCAGGUAGAACCUUUCUGCUGAGAGGGAGGAUUUACAACUGCGCUCAUCUGAUUCAGAACAUACGUGGGAUUCACUAGUAUGACACCUCAACAAAUGGUCACUUCACACAUGUCAAUAACACUCAUUUCACAACUAUUUAUUGAUGAUCUAUAAUUUGCAAGUUGUAGUCUGAGCACUAGGGUAUAGCAGCAGGCUCUUUUCAUGGAAGAUACAUGAAAUAAGUAAGUAAAUAGUACAGGCAGCUAUUUUCAUUUGAACUGUGACAAAACCUUUCUGAACAGGAGGCUUUGAAUGAAUUUCUGAAAGGAGUCAGUCAAGCGAAGACAUGGGACAUUGCAUUCCAGGCAGGGGAACAGCCCACUUAAAGGCCCUGAGGCAGAAA
Long non-coding RNA from Cebus imitator (Panamanian white-faced capuchin), 482 nucleotides. RefSeq lists it as uncharacterized. Lineage: Eukaryota; Metazoa; Chordata; Mammalia; Primates; Cebidae. The record is from RefSeq and is a predicted model, not a curated record. The transcript is spliced from 3 exons.